RNAcentral lists this ribosomal RNA (593 nucleotides) under Clostridioides difficile. RNAcentral describes it as "bacterial SSU rRNA". It matches the Rfam family "Bacterial small subunit ribosomal RNA", at positions 202 to 816 of the family's 1533-position model. Lineage: Bacteria; Bacillati; Bacillota; Clostridia; Peptostreptococcales; Peptostreptococcaceae. The record is from RNAcentral.
CAAAGGUGAGCCAGUACAGGAUGGACCCGCGUCUGAUUAGCUAGUUGGUAAGGUAACGGCUUACCAAGGCGACGAUCAGUAGCCGACCUGAGAGGGUGAUCGGCCACAUUGGAACUGAGACACGGUCCAAACUCCUACGGGAGGCAGCAGUGGGGAAUAUUGCACAAUGGGCGAAAGCCUGAUGCAGCAACGCCGCGUGAGUGAUGAAGGCCUUCGGGUCGUAAAACUCUGUCCUCAAGGAAGAUAAUGACGGUACUUGAGGAGGAAGCCCCGGCUAACUACGUGCCAGCAGCCGCGGUAAUACGUAGGGGGCUAGCGUUAUCCGGAUUUACUGGGCGUAAAGGGUGCGUAGGCGGUCUUUCAAGUCAGGAGUGAAAGGCUACGGCUCAACCGUAGUAAGCUCUUGAAACUGGGAGACUUGAGUGCAGGAGAGGAGAGUGGAAUUCCUAGUGUAGCGGUGAAAUGCGUAGAUAUUAGGAGGAACACCAGUUGCGAAGGCGGCUCUCUGGACUGUAACUGACGCUGAGGCACGAAAGCGUGGGGAGCAAACAGGAUUAGAUACCCUGGUAGUCCACGCUGUAAACGAUGAGUAC